RNAcentral lists this ribosomal RNA (494 nucleotides) under uncultured bacterium. RNAcentral's name for it is "partial 16S ribosomal RNA". It matches the Rfam family "Bacterial small subunit ribosomal RNA", at positions 28 to 507 of the family's 1533-position model. The record is from RNAcentral.
GACGAACGCUGGCGGCGUGCUUAACACAUGCAAGUCGAACGGAAAGGCCUGCUUUCCCUUGUGGAUUGCGGGUACUCGAGUGGCGAACGGGUGAGUAACACGUGAGUGAUCUGCCCCCAACUUGGGUAUAAGCCUGGGAAACUGGGUCUAAUUCCCGAUAGGACUGCAGGGUGGUGCCUGUGGUGGAAAACGAUUUUCUAGUGGUUGGGGAUGAGCUCGCGGCCUAUCAGCUUGUUGGUGGGGUAAUGGCCUACCAAGGCGGCGACGGGUAGCCGGCCUGGGAGGGUGGACGGCCACAUUGGGACUGAGAUACGGCCCAGACUCCUACGGGAGGCAGCAGUGGGGAAUAUUGCACAAUGGGCGGAAGCCUGAUGCAGCGACGCCGCGUGGGGGAUGACGGCCUUCGGGUUGUAAACUCCUUUCGACCGCGAGGAAGCCACCUGGUUGGAAGGGUGGUGACGGUAGUGGUAGAAGAAGCACCGGCUAACUACGUG